UACGUAGGGGGCAAGCGUUGUCCGGAUUUAUUGGGCGUAAAGGGUGCGUAGGUGGCGGGGUAAGUCAGGUGUGAAAUCUCGGAGCUCAACUCCGAAACUGCACUUGAUACUGCCUUGCUUGAGUACUGGAGAGGAGAUUGGAAUUUACGGUGUAGCAGUGAAAUGCGUAGAUAUCGUAAGGAAGACCAGUGGCGAAGGCGAAUCUCUGGACAGUUACUGACACUGAGGCACGAAGGCCAGGGGAGCAAACGGG
RNAcentral lists this ribosomal RNA (253 nucleotides) under uncultured bacterium. Its description in RNAcentral is "partial 16S ribosomal RNA". It matches the Rfam family "Bacterial small subunit ribosomal RNA", at positions 524 to 776 of the family's 1533-position model. The record is from RNAcentral.